This is a non-coding RNA of Larimichthys crocea (large yellow croaker), 54 nucleotides long. NCBI's taxonomy places the organism in Eukaryota, Metazoa, Chordata, Actinopteri, Sciaenidae. The record is from Rfam.
AUGUUUAUUAUGUGUAAGUCGCUUUGGAUAAAAGCGUCUGCUAAAUGCAAUGUA